Molecule: long non-coding RNA, 682 nt
Organism: Oncorhynchus keta (chum salmon)
Lineage: Eukaryota; Metazoa; Chordata; Actinopteri; Salmoniformes; Salmonidae
Exons: 2
Source: RefSeq, a predicted model, not a curated record
CAAUGUAAUCCAUGGGAGCGAGUGGGAGACCCAUCUAAACCAGGUGAGCGUGGUAUUGCAGGCCUUACAGGGGGCGGACGGGAGGGGAUGUGUAAAACCCAGGUGAAGAAAGUGGAGGCAAUUCGGGACUGGCCACACGCCCUCACGUUUAUGGGGUUGACUAGUUACUACCAGAGAUUUAUCCCCCUCCCUAGCCAGCCCCCUGACAGAUCUGACCAGGAGCUGUCUGCCCACCCAGGUGACGUGGACAGAGGAGACUGGGAAAGCCAUCCAGGGCCUAAAGGGAGCCCUGUGUUCUGGACCUGUGCUGGUGACGCCGGACUACUCCAAACCACUGUUGGUACAGACCGAUGCGUCUGAAACGGAUCAGGUGCAGCCCAUGGAAAUGCGGAUACCCUCUCCAGGAGGGAUGCUCUAGGGAGCUGGGGGGGAUAAAAUGCUCGGGGGUGCAGCCCGCUGGCUCCACCCCCGAGCCUUACAUGGUCUUCCUGCCCCGACGAGGCAAGCCGGUGGAUCUUUAAGCGCUCGGGGAUAAAAGAGGAAGCGGGCUGGACAGAGGGAAACACGUGUUAUGGAGAGUGUGAGAAGCGGGAGAAUUAUCUGCACGAUUGCCAGUUGUGAACUGGUUGCUGGAUCCCCUUGUGUGCAAAUAUCCCUAAUAAAUUCCCCCAUUUGCAUUCUA